Molecule: ribosomal RNA, 382 nt
Filed under: bacterium B1(2012)
Lineage: Bacteria
Description: bacterial SSU rRNA
Rfam family: Bacterial small subunit ribosomal RNA
Source: RNAcentral
UAUCUGAACCUUCGGGGAACGAUAACGGCGUCGAGCGGCGGACGGGUGAGUAAUGCCUAGGAAAUUGCCCUGAUGUGGGGGAUAACCAUUGGAAACGAUGGCNAAUACCGCAUGAUGCCUACGGGCCAAAGAGGGGGACCUUCGGGCCUCUCGCGUCAGGAUAUGCCUAGGUGGGAUUAGCUAGUUGGUGAGGUAAGGGCUCACCAAGGCGACGAUCCCUAGCUGGUCUGAGAGGAUGAUCAGCCACACUGGAACUGAGACACGGUCCAGACUCCUACGGGAGGCAGCAGUGGGGAAUAUUGCACAAUGGGCGCAAGCCUGAUGCAGCCAUGCCGCGUGUAUGAAGAAGGCCUUCGGGUUGUAAAGUACUUUCAGUCGUGAG